Molecule: long non-coding RNA, 1226 nt
Organism: Lolium perenne
Lineage: Eukaryota; Viridiplantae; Streptophyta; Magnoliopsida; Poales; Poaceae
Source: RefSeq, a predicted model, not a curated record
ACCAGUUCAGAGCACCCACCGACAAGUAAAAGGAAAAAAAAUGUAAGGAAGCAAAGCCCCGACCUCCUCGCCAUGGAACCCUAGCGUAGGGUACCUCCGCCGUCACCCCUUACCAUCUUGCCCCCCGCCGUUGCCGCCCUCCCGACGCAUCUCGGUGGAAGGCCUCUCCAGUACCUUGCUCGCCGUCGUAAGCCGGAGCAGGGAGCACGGCGCGUACACACACAGCACAUAGCAUCACCGUGCGCGAGGAAGUAAAGACAACCACCGCGAGGAAAGAGGAGAGGGCGACCAACUUCUCCAGGUUCACCUGAACGACGCCGCCGUGGCCGAGCUCGGCCUUGGAAUCUGCAAAGGUGAGGUUGAGGCGAAGAUUACCUUGCCCGGAGCGGAGAGUGAGGAGGCUGGGAGGAAGAAGGAGACCAUGGAGCUGUUCCCGCAGAGCGCGAGCUUGGAUGGUGUGCAGGACGCAGCUACCGCUGAUGGCUACUCCGCGCCAGGCAAACAUCAAUGGUUCAGACUGGAUCAACAACAUACCAAUGAAGUACUCAGCUUUCGGCAAAGUCGAGCGUCCGAGUUACAGAUGAUUAAUUCACAUGAAGAUCAAAGAUAGAUAUUGUUUUAACUGCAGCGCAUAGGCCGCCGCCUCGACAUAAUCGUCUUCCGUGAAAGUGCAGGAGGAUGGGCAGAAAGAGUGCGCUUGAGGAGAAGCGCCCAUGGCGUCGGACAUGGCGUGCAUACUCGAUGUGUUGGAUGUGGUCACGAAAAAAAGGGUGGCAGAAACCGGAGGAUGAGAGGGCGAGCUAACAAUAAGGCAUGGAGAUGCACUAUUCUCCUGAGAAUUCCAACAAAGGUUCCCUGGCUACAUGGACAUGCACUAUUCUGAGUUGGUGACUACAAUUAAGCAACAUAUGUCUCAUAUGGGAUUCCUCAAAAAAGAAAAGCCUGAACCAGGUAUAAUUAUGAAGAUAGCUGGGGCAUCUCUACUUUUUUUUGCCGGUAAUUGUCUUAACCAAUAGGUUUGGGAAAGGGAGUGACGAGAGAAUCAGAAUAGAGAGUUACUUUUUUAUCUACUUCGUCUGUUAACUGAAAGUUGUAAGAUUUUAUUUAGAUAGCAGCGUCGAGGAUUUCUUGCACACCCGCUAUGGACUUCGGUGCGAUAAAUUAGCACCUCCUGAAUAACCUAUAAUAUUUGCAUCAAAUAGUUAUUUCUAAUUUUUAAAUCUUCA